GGAAGGCGGGGCCUGGCCGUCACUCAACAAGGCCCCGCCCAUCAGGGCUGGCCCACGCUCGCGGCGCGCCUGCCCAGGAAGGUCUCGUGAAGGGGUCGGGGCGGAGCUACGCGCGCGGCGCUCCGAAGCCGUCAGGCUGACGCAGGUCUCCCCCCGCCUCCCCGCCUCCCGCGGCCCCGCCCACGCUAUUUAAACCACUGGACUCAAUAUGGCGGCGCGCACUCGGACGCUUGACCCCGGCGUCCCCGGACGCGGGCUGAUUCAGAGCGCGCCGAAAACUCGGUCACUGGGCAGCCUGGAUGAGCAGCAUGACCACGGGAGCCUUCGCUCAAAGGAAACCUGAGAUCCCACGCUGUUACCACACCUGCUGGUGCACGUGGCCGGAUGUGGGAGCCCCUCAGUUGGGAAGUUUACGUUGCGUCAGUCCCAGCAGACGGCAGUAAGGAUAGCUGUUCUUCUGGUGGAGGGAACAGAUGAUUGGUCAGCUAUACAUCUGGAUCCGUCUCUGGUCCAACCACUGAUCACUGAUGAGGCUCUUCAGCAGUUCGAACGAGAGAGGCCAGGCUGCCAAGGCGUACUGAGCAUGUGUCACGCCCUCGGGGUGAGUAGUUUGACAAGGACCGUGUGUAUUUCCAUCUUGAAACUGGGAUACAUUUUCUCAGUCAUAUCCAUUCGAUUUAAAAUUACUCAGUUUGCAUGGGGAUUGACGCACUCAUGGACCACACGUUUAAUUGAUGGGAGUUAAGAUGAGUCAGCACUUCUUUUUCCUGGUUCGUGCUGACAGUUCAAAUCCAGGCUCUACCGCUUAGAGCUGUGUGACCUUGGGAAGGUUACUUGACAUCUCUGUUCCUCAUUUUCUAAUCUAUACGUGAUGGAUAAUGAUUACGCCCAAAUUAUAGAAUGCGUCUGAGGCUAAAUGACUUAAUGCAGGUAAGGAGCACAGAAUACUGUUUGUCACAUAGUGAGAACUGUAUAAUUAUUGUAUUGUCACUAUCCUAAAACAUAAAACAUUAACAUAAAAAACAUGUAAUUCAGCAGAGAAGAUAGUCUAUAAAGUAGUUGUUAUUAUAUACAAGAUGAUGAUUAGACUUAAAAUUCUAAACAUAUCUGAAUCCAAAUGAGUCCAUAUUGCAAAUAACAGAGAACCCUGUCACAUGGUACUGAUUUUAUUAUUCCUAACCGUGAUGGUAUUAAUAUGAAGAAUAUUUAGAUUAUUAGAUCAAACUAAUAUUUAGUUUAUCAUCUAUCACAAAGGUUUCCAUUAUUUUCGAUGUUUUAAAUAUGUUGAAAAACAUGAAUUACAACAAUGAGGAUGAAAUUAAAUGGUGAAAAUGGAAAUGUAGUCAUUUAGAAUAGUUUUUCUGUCUUCAGAUGAAAAAUAGAUCCUGCAGGAAGCUAGGUCCUCGGAACUGAGUACGUUCUAAAAUCUAAUUUGUUUUUCUUGCAGUUUGUAGAUGUGGAAUUGUUAAAAUGUUCAUAUCUUUGAGCUAAUGUGGCAUAACAAAUUUAAUUUGCAAAACAAAGAUGACGUGUCUGGAACAUGAUCCAUAAUCACUUUUUUCCCCUCUUUCAGCUUCACGUUGUAGGGGCUCCAUUAGACUACUCAAGCAUAUUUUGUGACUCUGUAGAAAUUUCCAAAUAAAUAAAGUCUUGGAAAAUCA
This 1661-nucleotide long non-coding RNA is filed under the name Felis catus (domestic cat). RNAcentral's name for it is "lncRNA (ENSFCAG00000050774.1)". The record is from RNAcentral. Lineage: Eukaryota; Metazoa; Chordata; Mammalia; Carnivora; Felidae.